Sturnus vulgaris (Common starling) is the source of this 334-nucleotide non-coding RNA. The record is from RefSeq and is a predicted model, not a curated record. Lineage: Eukaryota; Metazoa; Chordata; Aves; Passeriformes; Sturnidae.
AUGUAGAAGACUUUGCCGUCGUAAUCCCUCGCCUCCUCCCAGCCAUCGGGAGAAGAGUACCCCAGGCUGGUUGCCAUGGUUCAGCUGAUAGAAGCCUUGUCUCCAAAUGACCUAUAUGCCUUCCUCCUCCAAACUCUCUUGAAGAUUUUGACAUCUGUUGUAUUAAGGUAAUGUGCAGUGAAACUGCGUAGAUGAAGUAAGGUCCUAGUAGUUAACAGUGGAGAAAAACUGAGCUGUCCUAACUUCUGGAUAUCCAUAAGAGCUGAGCUGCUUAGAGAAUGCAGCAGGAUCAUUGCCUGCUGAAAAGACAGAUGCAUUUAUUUUCACUGAGAAU